AGGCCUAACACAUGCAAGUCGGACGGUAGCACAGAGGAGCUUGCUCCUCGGGUGACGAGUGGCGGACGGGUGAGUAAUGUCUGGGGAUCUGCCCGAUAGAGGGGGAUAACCACUGGAAACGGUGGCUAAUACCGCAUAACGUCGCAAGACCAAAGAGGGGGACCUUCGGGCCUCUCACUAUCGGAUGAACCCAGAUGGGAUUAGCUAGUAGGCGGGGUAACGGCCCACCUAGGCGACGAUCCCUAGCUGGUCUGAGAGGAUGACCAGCCACACUGGAACUGAGACACGGUCCAGACUCCUACGGGAGGCAGCAGUGGGGAAUAUUGCACAAUGGGCGCAAGCCUGAUGCAGCCAUGCCGCGUGUAUGAAGAAGGCCUUCGGGUUGUAAAGUACUUUCAGCGGGGAGGAAGGCAUUGCGGUUAAUAACCGCAGUGAUUGACGUUACCCGCAGAAGAAGCACCGGCUAACUCCGUGCCAGCAGCCGCGGUAAU
RNAcentral lists this ribosomal RNA (491 nucleotides) under uncultured bacterium. Its description in RNAcentral is "bacterial SSU rRNA". It matches the Rfam family "Bacterial small subunit ribosomal RNA", at positions 44 to 524 of the family's 1533-position model. The record is from RNAcentral.